GGGCAGGUAAUCCAGGGGCAUGUAAUUCAGGGGCAGGUAAUCUAGAUGCAGGUAUUUCAGGGGCAUGUCAUCCACGGGCAGGUAAUUCAGGGGCUGGUAAUUUAGGGAUAG
Long non-coding RNA from Octopus sinensis (East Asian common octopus), 111 nucleotides. RefSeq lists it as uncharacterized. The transcript has 3 exons. The record is from RefSeq and is a predicted model, not a curated record. NCBI's taxonomy places the organism in Eukaryota, Metazoa, Mollusca, Cephalopoda, Octopoda, Octopodidae.